Molecule: long non-coding RNA, 3518 nt
Organism: Salvelinus fontinalis (brook trout)
Lineage: Eukaryota; Metazoa; Chordata; Actinopteri; Salmoniformes; Salmonidae
Exons: 2
Source: RefSeq, a predicted model, not a curated record
GACUGCACUUGAAGAGACUUUCAAAGUUUUUGAAAUGUUCCAUAUUGACUGACCAUCGUGUCUUAAAGUAAUGAUGGACUGUCGUUUCUCUUUGCUUAUUUGAGCUGUAUAUACAGUUGAAGUCGGAAGUUUAUAUACACCUUAGCCGAAUACAUUUAAACUCAGUUUUUCACAAUUCCUGACAUUUAAUCCUAGUAGAAAUUCCCUGUCUAAGAUCAGUUAGGAUCACCACUUUAUUUUAAGAAUGUGAAAUGUCAGAAUAAUAGUAGAGAGAAUGAUUUACAUAAGUUUACAUACACUCAAUUAGUAUUUGGUAGCAUUGCCUUUAAAUUGUUUAACUUGGAUUAAACGUUUUGGGUAGCCUUUCACAAGUUUCCCAUAAUAAGUUGGGGGAAUUUUGGCCCAUUCCUCCUGACAGAGCGAGUGUAACUGAGUCAGGUUUGUAGGCCUCCUUGUUCGCACACGCGUUUUCAGUUCUGCCCACACAUUUUCUAUAGGAUUGAGGUCAGGGGUUGUGAUGGCCACUCCAAUACCUGGACUUUGUUGUCCUUAAGCCAUUUUGCCAUAACUUUGGAAGUAUGCUUGAGGUCAUUGUCUAUUUGGAAGACUCAUUUGCGACCAAGCUUUAACUUCCUGACUGAUGUCCUUGAGAUGUUGCUUCAAUAUAUCCACACAAUUUCCCCCUCCCCCCAUGAUGCCAUCUUUUUUUUGAAGUGCACCAGUCCAUCCUGUAGCAAAGCACCCCCACAACAUGAUGCUACCACCCCCGUGCUUCACGGUUGGGAUGGUGUUCUUCGGCUUGCAAGCCUCCCCCUUUUCCCUCCAAACAUAACGAUGGUCAUUAUUGCCAAACAGUUUCAUCAGACCAGAGGACAUUUUUCCCAAAAAAGCUGAAAUAUUACAUUUACAUAAGUAUUUAGACCCUUUACUCAGUACUUUGUUGAAGCACCUUCGGCAGCUAUUACAGCCCCAAACAGCAAUAAAUACAACUUUCAUUAAGUCUUCUUGGGUAUGAUUCUACAAGCUUGGCACACCUGUAUUUGGGGAGUUUCUCCCAUUCUUCUCUGCAGAUCCUCCCAAGCUCUGCCAGGUUGGACGGGGAGUGUCUUUGCACAGCUAUUUUCAGGUCUCUCCUGAGAUGUUGAUCAGGUCAAGUCUGGGCCCUGGCUGGGCCACUCAAGGACAUCCAGAGACUUGUCCCAAAGCCAGUCCUGCGUUGUCUCGGCUGUGUGAUUAGGGUCGUUGUCCUGUUGGAAGGUGAACCUUCACCCCAGUCUGGAGCAGGUUUUCAUCAAGGAUCUCUCUGUACUUUGCUUCGUUCAUAUUUCCCUUAAUCCCGACUAGUCUCCCAGUCCCUGCCACUGAAAAACAUCCCCACAGCAUGAUGCUGCCACCACCAUGCUUCACCGUAGGGAUGGUGCCUGGUUUCCUUUAGACGUGACGCUUGCAAUCAAGCCAGUCUUGGUUUCAUUAGACCAGAGAAUGUUGUUUCUCAUGGUCUGUGAGUCCUUUAGGUGCCUUUUAGCAAACUCCAAGCGGGCUGUCAUGUGCCUUUGACUGAGGAGGAGUUUCCAUCUGGCCACUCUAACAUAAAUGCCUUGAUGGUGGAGUGCUGCAGAGAUGAUUGUCCUUCUGGAAUGUUCUCACAUCUCCACAGAGGAACUCUGGAGCUCUCUCAGAGUGACCAUCGGGUUCUUGGUCACCUCCCUGACCAAGGCCCUUCUCCCCCGAUUGCUCAUUCUGGCCGGGCAACCAGCUCUCGGAAGAGUCUUGGUGGUUCCAAACUUCUUCCAUUUCAGAAUGAUGGAGGCCACUGUGUUCUUGGGGACAUUCAAUGCUGCAGAACUUUUCGUACCCUUCCCCAGAUCUGUGACUCGACAUAAUCCUGUCUCUCAGCUCUACAGACCACUCCUUCGACCUCAUGGCUUGGUCUUGGGUCUGAACUGUGGAACCUUAUGUAAACAGAUGUGUGCCUUUCCAAAUCAUGUCCAGUCAAUUGUAUUUACCACAGGUGGACUUCAAUCAAGUUGUAGAAACAUCUCAAGGAUGAUCAUUGGAAACAAGAUGCACUUAUGUCUUGUGUAAAUAAGCCUGAAUUCAAAGAGGAUUACGACUUCCCUGGAGCAGGUUCUUUGUUUGCUCCCCCCAGUGCAAUUGAACUUAUUCCAGAGGCUGACCCAAAACAACGCCGGUGGAGAAGAGGUACUCAGGGCGAUCUUUUGGUCCGACUUAGGAAGCGUGCACACCACCCACCGCUCCUGAGUAUUUUACUCGCUAAUGUCCAAUCUCUGGAUAAUAAAGUUGAUGAGCACAAGGCGAGAGUUGGAUUUUAACAUACUCUGCUUCACGGAAACAUGGCUCUCUCGAGAUAUACUGUCUGACUCUGUAAAGCCAGUUGGGUUCUCAGUACAUUGCGCCGACAGGAACAAACAUCUCUCCGGGAAGCAGAAUUUGGCUUAACGCCUAAAACUCUCACAAACCUUUACAGCUGCACAAUUGAGAGCAUCUUAUCGGGCUGUAUCACUUCCUGGUAUGGCAACUGCACCGCCCACAACCACAAAGCUCUCCAGAGGGUGGUGCGGUCUGCCCAACGCAUUACCGGGGCAAACUUCCCGCCCUCCUGGACACCUACAGCAUCCGAUGCCAUAGGAAGGCCAAAAAGAUAAUCAAGGACAUCAACCACCUGAGCCACUGCCUGUUCACCCCGCUAUCAUCCAGGAGGCGAGGUCAGUACAGGUGCAUCAAAGCUGGGACCGAGAGACUGAAAAACAGCUUCUAUCUCAAGGCCACCAGACUGCUAAACAGCCAUCACUAACACAUCAGAGUUGGCUGCCUAUAGACAUAGAUUAGGAAUCACUGGCCACUUUUAGAAAUGGAUCACUAGCCACUUUAAUAAUGUUUCUGUAUCUAGCAUUACUCAUCUCAUAUGUAUAAACUGCACUCAACACUAUUCUACAGGAUCUUAGUUACUUUUAAAUUGUGUUAACAUAUUGCUUCACACGUCUCAUAUGUAUAUACUGUAUUGUAUUCUAUACUACACAACUGACUGUUAAACAGCCAUCACUAGCACAUCAGAGGCUGCUGCCUAUAGACAUAGAUUAGGAAUCACUGGCCACUUUUAGAAAUGGAUCACUAAUCACUUUAAUAAUGUAUCUGUAUCUUGCAUUACUCAUCUCACAUGUAUUAACUGUACUCUAUACUGUUCUACGGUAUGUUAGUCACUUUAAUUUUGUGUAAAUAUUGCAUCACCCAUCUCAUAUGUAUAUACUAUAUUCUAUAAUACGCCACUGUAUCUUAGUCCAAUGCUGCUCUGACAUACUGUAUAUGUAUAUAUUCUUAAUCCAUUCCUUGCCUAGAUUUACGUGUAUUUUGGAAAUAUGUUGUGAAACUGUUUGAUAUUACUUGUUAGAUAUUACUGCACUGUCAGAGCUAGAAGCGCAAGCAUUUCUCUACACCCGCAAUAACAUCUGCUAAACACGUGUAUGUGACCAAUAAAUUGGAUUUGAUUUGAUUUGAAA